Long non-coding RNA from Capsella rubella, 1269 nucleotides. RefSeq lists it as uncharacterized. Lineage: Eukaryota; Viridiplantae; Streptophyta; Magnoliopsida; Brassicales; Brassicaceae. The transcript is spliced from 5 exons. The record is from RefSeq and is a predicted model, not a curated record.
AUAUAUCUCUCUCUCUCUCUCUAUCUCUCUCUCUCUCUCACCUUUGAUUUCCGAUUCAAAUGCUUCAAGGUUCUCUUUUAUUGUCUCCACAAUCUAAAGCUGAAACACCAACUCGUUGUCUCCGUUUUUUUGGACGGAAUAUUACUUGGAUGCCACUUGCACCGUGGACAUGGAUCUGGAGCUAAUAGCUAAUAUCUGGCUUAUUCAAUUGGAGGAGGAUGGUGCAACAACAUUAUAACAUGUGUAUACCAAAAGAAGACUCGACAUGGUUUCUCUAACUAUAUGGAGAAGCAGCAUCAGUUUACAGGAAUCCUUAGUGAUAAAGCUCAAGAAAAUCAUGACCUGGAAUAUAGUUAAGCUUCCCUACUACGAUGGCGCUUCUUUCAGUGGAGAUGAUCAUAAUCAGGGAUUUGGCGGCGGUUAGUACCCCGACGGAGGCUGACUGUGUUUUUUGCUCAAUCUUUACUUGAGUGGAUGUUUGAACAUCUGGGUUCAGGUUAUAAUGAGGAUGAGAUGGGCAAACUGUUUAGUGUUGCUGUUUGGUGGAGGUGGAAAUGGAGAUGUAGUGAUGUCUUUGGGGAGAGAAGGACGUGUCGGGAUCGGAUCAAAUUUUUGAAGGAUUUGGCAGGGGAGGUGACACGGGGACAUGAGCAGGUUCAUGGUCGCCCGUUAACGGCACACUGGACCGUACAAAUGGUUAAGUGGGAGAAGUCGUUGGUGGAAUGGGUAAAGAUAUCGACAGAUGGAGCGUCAAGGGGAAAUCCGGGGUUGCCGACCGCACGAGGGGUUAUUCGAGACGGGAACAGUGUGUGGCUUGGAGGCUUUGCACUUAAUAUAGGGGAGUGUUCGGCUCCUAUGGGGGAGUUUUGGGGAGCUUAUUAUGGCCUGCUAUUCGCCUGGGAUCAAGGUUUUUGUCGGGUGGAGUUGGAGUUGGACUCUGAGUUAGUAGUUGGGCUUUUAAAAUCUUCGAUUAAUACAGCCCAUCCGCUAGUGUUCCUGGUACGGCUAUGCCAUGACUUUUUUUCAAGGAACUGGUUGGUCCGGAUUUCUCACGUGUAUAGGGAAACUAAUUGUCUAGCAGAUGGAUUAUCGAACUAUGCGAGUUAGGUUUGCAUUCUUUUGAUUUGCGUCCCGACAUUGUUCAUUCUCUGAUGUUGGACGAUCCAAAUGGAAAUGAAAUCACACGUACGUUACGGUUGUAAUUUUAAUUUUAUGUUUUUUAAUUAAUGCUAAAAAGGGCUUUAGUGGGCCUUGUGGGCUUUCGCUAAA